UAGGGAAUCUUCGGCAAUGGACGAAAGUCUGACAGAGCAACGCCGCGUGAGUGAAGAAGGUUUUCGGAUCGUAAAACUCUGUUGUUAGAGAAGAACAAGGACGUUAGUAACUGAACGUCCCCUGACGGUAUCUAACCAGAAAGCCACGGCUAACUACGUGCCAGCAGCCGCGGUAAUACGUAGGUGGCAAGCGUUGUCCGGAUUUAUUGGGCGUAAAGCGAGCGCAGGCGGUUUCUUAAGUCUGAUGUGAAAGCCCCCGGCUCAACCGGGGAGGGUCAUUGGAAACUGGGAGACUUGAGUGCAGAAGAGGAGAGUGGAAUUCCAUGUGUAGCGGUGAAAUGCGUAGAUAUAUGGAGGAACACCAGUGGCGAAGGCGGCUCUCUGGUCUGUAACUGACGCUGAGGCGCGAAAGCGUGGGGAGCAAACAGG
Molecule: ribosomal RNA, 429 nt
Filed under: Gemmatimonadota bacterium
Lineage: Bacteria; Pseudomonadati; Gemmatimonadota
Description: Gemmatimonadetes bacterium partial 16S ribosomal RNA
Rfam family: Bacterial small subunit ribosomal RNA
Source: RNAcentral